This 497-nucleotide ribosomal RNA is filed under the name uncultured bacterium. RNAcentral's name for it is "partial 16S ribosomal RNA". It matches the Rfam family "Bacterial small subunit ribosomal RNA", at positions 28 to 507 of the family's 1533-position model. The record is from RNAcentral.
GAUGAACGCUGGCGGCGUGCCUAAUACAUGCAAGUCGAGCGAACAGACGAGGAGCUUGCUCCUCUUAAGUUAGCGGCGGACGGGUGAGUAACACGUGGAUAACCUACCUAUAAGACUGGGAUAACUUCGGUGAACCGGACCUAAUACAGCAUAAUAUAUUGAACCGCAUGGUUCAAUAGUGAAAGACGGUUUUGUUGUCACUUAUAGAUGGAUUCGCGCCGCAUUAGCUAGCUGGUAAGGUAACGGCUUACCAAGGCAACGAUGGGUAGCCGACGUGAGAGGGUGAUCGGCCACACUGGAAGUGGGACGCGGUCCAGGGUCCUACGGGACGCAGCAGUAGGGAAUCUUACGCACUGGGCGGAAGCCUGACGGAGCAACGCCGAGUGAGAGAUGAAGGUCUUCGGAUCGUAAAACUCUGUUAUUAGGGAAGAACAACUGUGUAAGUACCUAUGCACGUCUUGACGGUACCUAAUCAGAAAGCAACGGCUAACUACGUG